UAUCCCCCCCCACCAAAUAAAUGAGCAAUGGAAUUAAAAUUUCCUCUGAGAGUUAUCUAGAAAUGAUAGCUACAAAAAUGAAGAAACCUUAAGGAAAUUCCUUUGUCGUCUUCUCCCUUCAGAUUUUCAGUCUAUCAACUUGUGGUUCCAAAAGCAUUUGCUGAUUGACAGUUGAUAUUUUUUUCUGCACUAACAAAGAGUAGAAAAAGCAGUCAAGAAGUCAUAGAAAAAGUCGUCACAUAAAAGAAUUACAGGUAAAUAAUAUAUUUGGAGAAUUGCAUGGAAGAACUUACUAUUGACAGAUUAAGCAAACCAGAAACUGAGAGUAUGCGUUGGAUUUUGGGAUUAUUCUCAAAAUUUCCUGGCUUGGGCUCCAGGUCUUGCUGGAAUCUCAGUGGUGCCAGCUCUCAGUGUGGUCAGGGGGACUCAUCUGAAUCGCCAUUAGAUCUUUUGUCCUGAUUCCAGAAAUCAUGCCACAAAUCUUGAAAUUUAGACAGUGUUACGUCAGCUGUUUCCAUUGUGUUUUCAAUUUACUCCUUUUCUGUUUUUAUUUUUGUUUCUGGAAGAGUUUGAAAAAGUCAAUGAGUAAUGGUAAACCUGAGGCCAAGGCUCUGAGUACCAUGUGUACAAUGGAUGCUUGGAACUUGUCAUCCGAACCAUUUCUCGAAUUAUGGUACCCUGAUCGGCAUCAUCUGGGAAUUUGUUAGGAAUUCCAAUACUGGGUCCUCACCCUAAACCAACUGAAUCAGAAACUCCAGGAUCAGGUGAGGUCUAGCCACCUGUGUUUUAACAAGAGGUGAUUAAGAGACCCACUGUGCUAGGGGGAAUCCUGAGUAUAUUGGCCAUGCAGAGUAUGAACAGUGCUGUGGUUGGAGAAUGGGGGAAAUUGAUGAGAUGAUAGAAAAGAACACUUAGGCAUUUUUUAAUUCAAAAAAGAAAAAAAAUGUCUUAAAAGCCU
Molecule: long non-coding RNA, 958 nt
Filed under: Marmota monax (woodchuck)
Lineage: Eukaryota; Metazoa; Chordata; Mammalia; Rodentia; Sciuridae
Source: RNAcentral